UCAUACGGGAGGCAGCAGUAGGGAAUCUUCCGCAAUGGACGAAAGUCUGACGGAACAACGCCCCCUGAACGAUGAAGGCCUUCGGGUCGUAAAGUUCUGUUGUUAGGGAAGAACAAGUACCAGAGUAACUGCUGGUACCUUGACGGUACCUAACCAGAAAGCCACGGCUAACUACGUGCCAACAGCCGCGGUAAUACCUAAGUGGCAAGCGUUGUCCGGAAUUAUUGGGCGUAAAGCGCGCGCAAGCGGUUUCUUAAGUCUGAUGUGAAAGCCCACGGCUCAACCGUGGAGGGUCAUUGGAAACUGGGGAACUUGAAUGCCAAACAAGAAAGAGGAAUUCCACGUGUAACGGUGAAAUGCGUAAAAAUGUGGAGGAACACCAGUGGCGAAAGCGACUCUCUGGUCUGUAACUGACCCCGAAGCCCCAAAACUUGGGGAGCGAACACGCAUAAAUCCCCCGGUUGCCCCCCCCCUAAACCAAUAAUGCCUAGUGUUAAAAGGUUUCCCCCCC
This 511-nucleotide ribosomal RNA is filed under the name bacterium A6M_VP7_E1. RNAcentral describes it as "partial 16S ribosomal RNA". It matches the Rfam family "Bacterial small subunit ribosomal RNA", at positions 337 to 839 of the family's 1533-position model. The record is from RNAcentral.